UCAUCGAUGGACUGUAGAGCUAGAAGU
Molecule: unclassified non-coding RNA, 27 nt
Filed under: Mus musculus (house mouse)
Lineage: Eukaryota; Metazoa; Chordata; Mammalia; Rodentia; Muridae
Description: oocyte_clustered_small_RNA6500
Source: RNAcentral